GGUUGUGGCUUAGUGGUAGAGCACUUGCCUAGUAUGUGCAAGGCCCUGGGUUCGAUCCCCAGCACCA
RNAcentral lists this transfer RNA (67 nucleotides) under Marmota monax (woodchuck). RNAcentral describes it as "tRNA.Thr". It matches the Rfam family "tRNA". From Rfam's summary of the family: Transfer RNA (tRNA) molecules are approximately 80 nucleotides in length. Their secondary structure includes four short double-helical elements and three loops (D, anti-codon, and T loops). Lineage: Eukaryota; Metazoa; Chordata; Mammalia; Rodentia; Sciuridae. The record is from RNAcentral.